RNAcentral lists this long non-coding RNA (1305 nucleotides) under Homo sapiens (human). RNAcentral describes it as "HSALNT0388066". The record is from RNAcentral. Lineage: Eukaryota; Metazoa; Chordata; Mammalia; Primates; Hominidae.
CUGCACCAUGCCCACCUCUGUGCCCAGAGCUGCAGCAUCAAGUCACCCAUGGGUGGAAAAUCACAGAGGUGGGGCCUGCCUGGUCCAGAGCCCAGAGAUGGAAACGGUAGGGAGAGAGGGCGCCUGACACUUCCUAGCCUCCAGCAAGCCUGGAGAGGGGCGCAAGGCGUCCUUCUGCAUGUGGUAAAAUGCUUGGACUGAGUCUUGGAUGAUUGUGCCUAGCUCUAUCCUGCGACCAGCAAGCACUUGCUUUUCUAGAGGGAAGGGAAAGAAAGAGAAGGAACAAAGACCUGAGCUCCUCAAAGCCACCAGCUAGCUCAGCCUUCACGGAUUCAGCUCGGUCCUCUUGGCAAACUCUGAGAUGCUCAAGGAGGUCUUUGGAAUACUUCCAACUCUGAACGCUCCCCUCCAGGGAGUCCCCACUGUUCAAAGCCCCCGAGGAAUCUGAGUCACCUGCCCGUAGGCCUGGCUCUUCUGGGGGAGUCUAGAUCUGGUGGCCAGUGGCUACGGAUGAGCAGUGCCCCGUGCCCAGGCCAGGUACCCCUGCUGUCAGCUCCUAUGGCCCCUUUCUGAGCUCUGCUCCAUCCCUGCCUAGCCUGACAGCAGUUAGCAUGGUGGCCUCCCGAAAACACCAGGGAGCUGGAUGGAAGUCACAGGUCCCAGGACUACGAGGCCACUGCGGGGCCGGGAGUGGUGGCUGGGCACAGAGGCCCACUAUCCAAUGUGACAGAGAAGAACAGGCCCAGUUGCAGCCUCAGAAGAUGACUCCUUAGACACAGCUACGCUGCCAGCGACAGGGCCUGCCCAGCCAGCCCAGGCGGUCUGAAUCAGAACUCAAGACCCUCGAGAGCUUCCACGGCCCACGUGGGGCAGGGCACUGCUUAAGGGGGACUCUGGCAGGUCCAGGGAGCCACAGACAUGAAGCAAAACCCACGGCCGGGAGUUUUGCAGAUAUCUGGCCCUUCAGCUCCACCAGGAGGCAAAUUAAGGGAACACGCGUGGAAGGAGCUGAACCAGCCACAUUCGAACACUGUCUCUGAGCGAGCCCAGUGCAGAUAGCUGGGGCUAUGGCGUGACUGGGAAAAGGAAAGGGUUUUCCCAGAGCUGUCCUCAAGGAGCUGGAGUCGCUUGGUGGAGUUUCAGCCUCUGGGUGCCCUGGCUUGCCCUUGGCGAGGUGGUCCUGGAAGUGAAGUGACCAGGACUGGGAAAUGGCAAAGAUCGAAGAGGGGAGGCAGAGACUGGAGAAGCUAAACCAAGCAACAGCCUGAGACUAAGUGCCAAGUGUGUAAAUACAUUCUGGCCAAA